This 1082-nucleotide ribosomal RNA is filed under the name uncultured Methanolobus sp. RNAcentral describes it as "bacterial SSU rRNA". It matches the Rfam family "Archaeal small subunit ribosomal RNA", at positions 1 to 1073 of the family's 1478-position model. The record is from RNAcentral. Lineage: Archaea; Methanobacteriati; Methanobacteriota; Methanomicrobia; Methanosarcinales; Methanosarcinaceae.
GGCCGCGGGAAUUCGAUUUCCGGUUGAUCCUGGCGGAGGUCACUGCUAUCAGUAUUCGACUAAGCCAUGCGAGUCAAAUGUUUUUCGUAAACAUGGCGUACUGCUCAGUAACACGUGGAUAAUCUGCCCUAAGGUCAGGUAUAGCUCCGGGAAACUGGUGAUAAUCCCUGAUAUAUCAUAGAAACUGGAAUGUUCUGUGAUUAAAAGCUCCGGCGCCUUAGGAUGAAUCUGCGGUCUAUCAGGUUGUAGUGGGUGUAGAGUACCUACUAGCCUACGACGGAUACGGGUUGUGAGAGCAAGAGCCCGGAGAUGGAUUCUGAGACAUGAAUCCAGGCCCUACGGGGCGCAGCAGGCGCGAAAACUUUACAAUGCGGGAAACCGCGAUAAGGGGAUACUGAGUGCCAGCAUAUUAUGUUGGCUGUCCACCUGUAUAAACAGCAGGUGUUAGCAAGGGCCGGGCAAGACCGGCGCCAGCCGCCGCGGUAACACCGGCGGCCCGAGUGGUGGCCACUAUUAUUGGGUCUAAAGGGUCCGUAGCCGGUUUGAUCAGUCUUCCGGGAAAUCUGACAGCUCAACUGUCAGGCUUCUGGGGGAUACUGUCAGACUUGGGACCGGGAGAGGUAAGAGGUACUACAGGGGUAGGAGUGAGAUCUUGUAAUCCUUGUGGGACCACCAGUGGCGAAGGCGUCUUACCAGAACGGGUCCGACGGUGAGGGACGAAAGCUGGGGGCACGAACCGGAUUAGAUACCCGGGUAGUCCCAGCCGUAAACGAUGCUCGCUAGGUGUCUGGGACGGUGCGACCGUUUCAGGUGCCGCAGGGAAGCCGUGAAGCGAGCCACCUGGGAAGUACGGCCGCAAGGCUGAAACUUAAAGGAAUUGGCGGGGGAGCACUACAACGGGUGGAGCCUGCGGUUUAAUUGGACUCAACGUCGGAAAACUCACCUGGGGCGACAGCAAUAUGUAGGUCAGGCUGAAGGUCCUACCUGAAUCGCUGAGAGGAGGUGCAUGGCCGUCGUCAGUUCGUACUGUGAAGCAUCCUGUUAAGUCAGGCAACGAGCGAGACCCAAUCACUAGUGAAUUC